RNAcentral lists this ribosomal RNA (97 nucleotides) under Planomicrobium soli. The record is from RNAcentral. Lineage: Bacteria; Bacillati; Bacillota; Bacilli; Caryophanales; Caryophanaceae.
AGGCCACACCCGUUCCCAUCCCGAACACGGAAGUUAAGCUCUUUUGCGCCGAUGGUAGUUGGGGGUCUCCCCCUGUGAGAGUAGGACGUCGCUGGGC